RNAcentral lists this transfer RNA (87 nucleotides) under Thiotrichales bacterium. Its description in RNAcentral is "tRNA-Leu". It matches the Rfam family "tRNA". Rfam says of the family: Transfer RNA (tRNA) molecules are approximately 80 nucleotides in length. Lineage: Bacteria; Pseudomonadati; Pseudomonadota; Gammaproteobacteria; Thiotrichales. The record is from RNAcentral.
GCCCAGGUGGCGAAAUAGGUAGACGCAGGGGACUUAAAAUCCCCCGGUAGAAAUACCGUGCCGGUUCGACUCCGGCCCUGGGCACCA